Molecule: ribosomal RNA, 252 nt
Filed under: uncultured bacterium
Lineage: Bacteria
Description: partial 16S ribosomal RNA
Rfam family: Bacterial small subunit ribosomal RNA
Source: RNAcentral
GAUCAUGGCUCAGGAUGAACGCUAGCUACAGGCUUAACACAUGCAAGUCGAGGGGCAUCAGGGUGUAGCAAUACACCGCUGGCGACCGGCGCACGGGUGAGUAACACGUAUCCAACCUGCCCUUUACUCGGGGAUAGCCUUUCGAAAGAAAGAUUAAUAUCCGAUAGCAUAUAUUUCCCGCAUGGGUUUUAUAUUAAAGAAAUUCGGUAUGAGAUGGGGAUGCGUUCCAUUAGUUUGUUGGCGGGGUAACGG